This 165-nucleotide non-coding RNA is filed under the name human gut metagenome. RNAcentral describes it as "Lysine riboswitch". It matches the Rfam family "Lysine riboswitch aptamer". From Rfam's summary of the family: Riboswitches are metabolite binding domains within certain messenger RNAs that serve as precision sensors for their corresponding targets. The record is from RNAcentral.
CGGAUAGAGGUUGCGGCUUUUAUCAGUACCCCGGCUCCUAUGGAAGCACCCGCCGGACCGGGGGAAAGGAAACGCCGCCGAAGGAAGGCCGCAGGGCAGCGGUUUUCCUGAUGGUGCGCUGAACAAGCGUAUCAUUGUCAUCAUAGAGUAUGAUGGAGCGCUAUC